Long non-coding RNA from Amphiprion ocellaris (clown anemonefish), 2543 nucleotides. Lineage: Eukaryota; Metazoa; Chordata; Actinopteri; Pomacentridae. The record is from Ensembl.
GCCAGAGAGCAGUGAUUGGUCAGACCAUAGAUAAUAUAGAAGACAGCGCGCUAGCGUAUCUAGGCUUCACUAUAUAUCUAUGGUCGGCACGUCUGGUAGCAUCUGUGGCUGCUGUUGACCUUGUUUUUGGAGUAAAACACGGUGGAAGCUGAAUUAGUGAGAAUGACUCCUGCUCCUGUCAUCUCUAAGCUCCUCACACAUCUUUACCUGCACAUGAGGAAAAUCACUCCUGUAGAAUGCAGAUGUUCAGAGGGAGAUGAUGCCACAUCUGGUCCAGCUGAUGGAAGGUCUUGAAGUUCUCUGACUGGCCUCGACUGAAGAUGGUCGUCUCACUGGAUUUAAGGUUCAGAUGCUCAGUAACAAACUCCACCAAUGAACCAACAGGGAACCUUUAGGUUUAUUAAAUGUUGCUAUGAAGGUAUCGCUGUUUUUCUUUGUGAAUGCAAUGUGCUCCAACUGAAACUUGAAUUAGAACUUAGAAGUAAAUCCUUCCAUCUGAAAGGAUUUAGUUGCAUUAAUAACCUCAUAACAUUCAAAUUUUUAUUCCAGUCUUGGUUGAAAAUAGAAUCUCUGUAUUGAUUCAGGUAAAAACUGAACUUCAAAGCAUGUUGGAGCAAAACAACCAGAUGAAAACUGUGAUGGUGUUGGAUUGUCAGACCGUAAUGUUGCAGCUCAAAGCAGCUUUUCUAUCUCAGUUCAUUCUGACAUUCAGCUAUGAAUCAACACAGCAGAUGGUGAUCCAUGCUGUGGAAGUCUCACAUCUCCUGAUUUAAUGGAGCUGCUUUGCACUUUUUACACUGUUUAUUCACCAACACUUUAUUUAAUAAAAGUCCCAUCUAGUUUUUAUGAGGAAUGUGAUGUUUUAAUCUCUCUGUGAAUAACUGCAGUCUAAUGCAACAGCUGGAGUUGUAACAUCUGUCCUGAUAUUGAUCAUGAAGUAUUGAUCAGAAUACUUAUGGUCAGCAGUCAUCCCUGAAGUUUUACAUUAAAAUCUUUACUUGUGUUGUGAACUUUGGUAAGAAGCAGAAACGUUAGCGUUGCCAUGGAUACAUGAGUGUUAAAUUCUGUCCAUGUUUCCAUUUUGGGAAAUGCAGUCCAGUUCCAGAAUGUGGAGGAAUUUAGUCUCACAAUCACAGACAAUAAAUAUUAUCUGAAAGUCGGGUUAUUGUUGUUUAUCAGCACAAUACAAAAAGAUUAAUGUUAGAAAUAUUCCAGUUAAGACUCUAGAAUAUCAUGAUUUAUGUAAAUUUACCUCAAUAAUACGAAUGUUCAGGUUAAGAUUGUACAGUGAUAUUUAUUAUGUAAGUUUAGCUGAUUAAAGUUUAUGACUCUGCACUACAAUAUUAUUUAAAUUGACAUCAUUAUUAUAAUAUUUAGGGUUAGACCCUACAGUAUUGAGAUUAAGAAAUCAAAUAUUCUAUAAAAUAUAAAUACACUGAACUCAUUUGGAUAUAUUUAAGUGAGACUCUACAAUAUUAUUUGACACAAAUCUAUCUAAAUCAAAUUUUAAUAAUUUUCACACCAAACAUUUACUGGACUGAUUUAAAUAUUAAAAUCACUCCUUUCUAAUCCUCUGCUGUGCAUUCAAACCUGAGGCCUUAAGUAGAAACACACAAGUAUCUGUUUGAAGGAACGUCUGAAGAGUCCUGGUUCCAGAACAUGAUGAUAGAAUUAUAGACAAACUUCAACAAAAGCUGUCUGAGAGUUUACAGGUUUUUAUGUUGGAUUUCUUCAGUAAUUUAAUGAGCGUUAUCAGCAAUAAUCAAGUGUUCAUUUGAUGAACUUGAUUUCCUAAAACAUCCAGAAUUGGAGCUCAUGUCUUUGGCAGCUGUAAAGUUUCUGCUCCUUCAAAGUUCACAACACAAUGAAUGAAUUCCUAAAACACUCUCAAUGCUGGAGAGCGUUUGUGAUGCUGAAGCAGUGAUCAGUUUUUCUGUUUCUUCUCUGGAGAUGCACAAUGAGGGAUGUCUGCAGCAACUGAGAAAGAGUCUCACCACAUCCUGACAUGAGGAAAAAGACUUUAUUGAAGACUACAAUGAGAAAAAGUAUCAGACAGCAGACGGCUGCAUUCAAGUCUGUAGCUGCUGAAUUCAUGGAUGAAUCAUCUGGCACUAGAGAAGAAGACCAUCAAACAUCCACGUCAGCUGAUGGAGGUCCAAGAGUCUCACCAAACAACCAACCUACAGAGUGAAGACCUCGAAUCUGAUUGGACGGCCUCCUAUUCAGCCACAUGUGAACAAAUGCCUCUAAGUUGAUUUGUUUUCUAAAAUAAAUCUAGUUUGAGUCCUAAUCUAUGCCUGUGUGUUUGCUUCUUUACACUGCUGUUAACAGUUUAGGCUGUUAGAUUGUUCCAGAUAAGACAAGUACAAGAUUCUUCAGAGCCGUUCUACCACGAGCCUGACAGGAAGAACUCCAACAGCUACUGAAUGUUCCUGUGGUCCCCUCAAGGCUACAGGAGGAGCCCUACGAGGACGAGCUGGUCCACCUGAUGGUGGCCUACAUGAGAGCUUUAAUUAUUCUUCAUCUACUUCCUGAAAAGUUUG